GUUCAGGGAUGGGAAUCGAACCCACAGUGUUCCGCUUACCGGGCAGAUGCCAUGUCCACUAGGCUACCCUGGA
Molecule: non-coding RNA, 73 nt
Organism: Cordylochernes scorpioides
Lineage: Eukaryota; Metazoa; Arthropoda; Arachnida; Pseudoscorpiones; Chernetidae
Source: the annotation of a GenBank genome assembly